UGUAUGUGCAUAUACACCUGUACUUAUGUGUGUUUACACAUGUGAACAUGCAUAUACACACAUGCAAACCACACACAUAUACAUGAAAGACA
This 92-nucleotide microRNA precursor is filed under the name Nannospalax galili (Upper Galilee mountains blind mole rat). Its description in RNAcentral is "miRNA (ENSNGAG00000010075.1)". Lineage: Eukaryota; Metazoa; Chordata; Mammalia; Rodentia; Spalacidae. The record is from RNAcentral.